UAUAAGGGAUUUUGAGUUUUUGCUUGUAAUAUUUGACCAUUCGUCUUAUUCAAAAAAUUUUGAAAUUAUUAAUUAUUUUAUUUGUGACUUACUUUAUUAUCUACAGUAUUUUAAGCACAACUUUUUGUUUUUAAUAUUUGCAAAAAAAAUUUGAAUAAGACGAGUGGUCAAACGUUGCAAGCAAAAACUGAAAAUCCCUUAUA
This 203-nucleotide microRNA precursor is filed under the name Oryza sativa Indica Group (long-grained rice). Its description in RNAcentral is "MIR812 microRNA precursor family". It matches the Rfam family "MIR812 microRNA precursor family". The record is from Rfam by way of RNAcentral. Lineage: Eukaryota; Viridiplantae; Streptophyta; Magnoliopsida; Poales; Poaceae.